UACGGGAGGCAGCAGUGGGGAAUAUUGCACAAUGGGCAAAGCCUGAUGCAGCUAUGCCGCGUGUAUGAAGAAGGCCUUAGGGUUGUAAAGUACUUUCAUCGGGGAGGAAAAACAAAACUAAUAAUUUUAUUUCUUGACGUUACCCGAAAAAGAAGCACCGGCUAACUCCGUGCCAGCAGCCGCGGUAAUACGGAGGGUGCUAGCGUUAAUCAGAAUUACUGGGCGUAAAGAGCACGUAGGUGGUUUUUUUAAAGUCAGAUGUGAAAUCCCUGGGCUUAACCUAGGAACUGCAUUUUGAAACUGAAAUACUAGAGUAUCGUAGAGGGAGGUAGAAUUCUAGGUGUAGCGGUGAAAUGCGUAGAUAUCUGGAGGAAUACCUGUGGCGAAAGCGGCCUCCUAAACGAAUACUGACACUGAGGUGCGAAAGCGUGGGGAGCAAAACAGGGAUUAGAUACC
RNAcentral lists this ribosomal RNA (456 nucleotides) under uncultured bacterium. Its description in RNAcentral is "bacterial SSU rRNA". It matches the Rfam family "Bacterial small subunit ribosomal RNA", at positions 340 to 786 of the family's 1533-position model. The record is from RNAcentral.